RNAcentral lists this ribosomal RNA (367 nucleotides) under uncultured bacterium. RNAcentral describes it as "bacterial SSU rRNA". It matches the Rfam family "Bacterial small subunit ribosomal RNA", at positions 32 to 390 of the family's 1533-position model. The record is from RNAcentral.
AAUCAACGCUGGCGGCGUGCCUCAGACAUGCAAGUCGAACGCGAAAGUCCCCUUCGGGGGAUGAUUAGAGUGGCGCACGGGUGAGUAACACGUAGGUAAUCUACCUUCGAGUGGGGAAUAACUCAGGGAAACUUGAGCUAAUACCGCAUAAUGCAGCGGCACCACAUGGUGACAGUUGUUAAAGCAUUUAUGCGCUUGAAGAGGAGCCUGCGGCGGAUUAGCUAGUUGGUAAGGUAAUGGCUUACCAAGGCUACGAUCUGUAACCGGCCUGAGAGGGCGGACGGUCACACUGACACUGAAUAACGGGUCAGACUCCUACGGGAGGCAGCAGUCGGGAAUUUUGGGCAAUGGGCGAAAGCCUGACCCA